This 2732-nucleotide long non-coding RNA is filed under the name Podarcis lilfordi (Lilford's wall lizard). Lineage: Eukaryota; Metazoa; Chordata; Lepidosauria; Squamata; Lacertidae. The record is from RNAcentral.
UGUGGCCCCACUGAACAUCUCCACCGGGUAGUGUCUUCUGCUGAACAGAUUGUUGACUGUGUUAGCUGAGAGAGAGAGAGAGAGAGAGAGAGAGAGAGAGAGAGAGAGAGAGAGAAUCACCUGUUAGGAAGGAGAAAGAAUGGGGCUGCCUAUAACCAGGUCCAAAACAGAUGACCAACAUGUCCAGAAAGAGGCCUUUCAGUUUGGGACAUGUAUUCACAAUAGCAAAUAUAUCAUUUUCAAGGAGGGUGGUGGAUCCACGUCCCAAAUCUGUGAUCUUUAAUGUAAGUCAUUCCCUUGCUUUCCUAAUUGCAAUCCUAGCCUCUCCUGUGCAAGGGAUUAAUUCCAUUUCAUAAUUUAAGUAGCCUUUCCUGGAUACCAGAUGGGUAUUGAUUUCCAGUAAUACCCUCAGAUCACAUUGCCCUCUACUCGUAUCACCUCAUACAAGGCUAAAUGCAUUGUUCUGGGACAUAUAAAAUUCCCUGGCCUUGUUCACCACAUAACAUCAUUCGUCUUAUCUCCUGUGCUAAGUGCCAGUUGCACCCCUCACACUUCCCAAGAGCCAAUGUGGUUACAGUGUAGGACUAGGACCUGGAAGGCCAGAGUUCAGUUCACAUUUUGGCCAUGAAGCUCCCUGGGGGAUUUCGGGCCAUUCACUGCCUCUUAGCCAAACCUACCUCAUAUGAUCAUCGUCAACUGCUCCGUGCAAUGACUGGAUUUUGCGUCCAGUCCUCAGGACGCUUCUACAUUAUUUCACUGGUCCAUAGCCUUCUGACCACAGGGACAGUCUGUAAGAUCAGUAGGCUGGGUGUGAGAAACCAGGAGCGAGUGGCAACUCAGCAGCCAAAGAACAGUAGUAAUUUGAAAAGGAGGACCGUGCAAAUGAGAUGGAGCUCUAGAGCACAGCAUGGGCAGAUCCCAGGUGAAAACAUUGGCCUCACCAGUUAAGAAGAAGAAGAAGAAGAGUUUGGAUUUGAUAUCCCGCUUUAUCACUACCCGAAGGAGUCUCAAAGCAGCUAACAUUCUCCUUUCCCUUCCUCCCCCACAACAAACACUCUGUGAGGUGAGUGGGGCUGAGACACUUCAAAGAAGUGUGACUAGCCCAAGGUCACCCAGCAGCUGCAUGUGGAGGAGCAGAGAUGCGAAGCCGGUUCACCAGAUUACGAGUCCACCACUCUUAACCACUACACCACACUGGCUCUCUUAAAGGGAGAUUGGAUGGCAGGGCUAGGUAAAGCGUACCAGGGUGUAGGGGCACUGCCACUCGGAGUACUCAUACUGGUUGGAAUGGGCCCACAAUCUUACCCAGUGUAUGACCUGUUCAUAUAGCAAGUCUUGUUGGCUGCGAUGCUUCCUCACCAAUGCUGGUGUCCCCUUUCAGCAGCACAGAGCCACUUCAUCAGAAAAAAAGGUGGUUGAGAUAACGUCUGCCUAAGUGCCCCAACAGAAUCCUUUUAGGGUUCAGUCACACUUAAUUCUGAAAUUGAACUCUGCAUGUUCCAGAGCCAUUACUUGACUUUCUCUCCUUUUUCUUCCAGAGCUCGCGAGUUGUGGGGCUCCCCAAAGGCCAGGCGAGCAGCGACAUAAAUUGACCCACCUCUCAUUCGGAGAAAGCCCCGGUGAGUGUGAGCGUUAAUACAGAAAGUGGCCAGCCGCCAAAAAACGAAAGUUACCAGAUCUGCCGAGAAUCCCCAGUGUGACAUCAUGAAAUGGAAGGAAUCUGCUGGGCGCCAAAGCGUCUGUUAAAGAUCAAAGAAAGGAGCUGGGGGAGAGUUAAGGAAAUAGAAACUAGGAGAGAAAAUGGGGUGGCUAGUUGGAGGAAAAGGAUGUGAGAUUUGGCUCAGGGGUGGGGGGCGGAGAGAAAGGGAAUACUCUGGAAUAAGGAAAUCCCCAGACACUUUCAUAGACCUGAAUUACAUGUGCAUUUUCUACUAAGUUCACUGUAUCACAAACUCAACCUGACUUUUACAGCAGCCAGAUCUGCUACUCUGGUAGAAACAGAGGAAGCUGCCUUGCACUGAGUCAGACCAUUGGUCCAUCUAACUCAGUAUUGUCUACACUGACUAGUAGUGUUUUCCCAGGGUUUCAGGCAGGAAACCUCUCCCAGCCCUGCCUGGAGAUGGUGGAUGGAUUGAGGCCUUCUACAUGCCAGGCAGAUGACCCAACACUGAGCUGUGUCCCUUCUCCAAACUCUCCCCUGUCCCAAAACCGGCCCCUUUCCCCUGACUGAUUAAGCUUACAAAGAACCACUUUUGCAUGAGUUUGAAGUGUUUUCUACAGCACAAUUAUUGCCCAUACAAUAUACACGUCUACCCAGAAAUGAGCUCAAGGGGACCUACUCCCCAUUACCAGGGUUGGGAAACAUGUGUCAUUAUACAAAAGCAGGCAUAGCUGCUUACUUCAUUUCCAGGAGAGUGCCUUAUUUAUACAUCUGUCCAUUUGCAGAUCCCUGGACGACCUUGAAAUUUCAGCUAUUGAAUCAACAGGCUGAUCAUUCCCCUUGAUGGCCAUUACCAUUUUUCUCAUUUUGUUCUCAGGUAUACUCUUGUGUUUCCAGUGUGUGUGUGUGUGUGUGUGUGUGUGAUUCCUUUAAGGUAUAAAAAUACACGUUUCAGCACAAUGGAUUAACCACAUACUAGGAAUUUUUUUACUGUUUGUGAGCGUGUGGGUGUAGACCCAAUCUCCAUGCUUAUUCUGAUGAAUAUACCUUCCUGCUAUCUGGGCACCAGGGG